This 583-nucleotide ribosomal RNA is filed under the name uncultured marine eukaryote. Its description in RNAcentral is "SSU rRNA". It matches the Rfam family "Eukaryotic small subunit ribosomal RNA", at positions 617 to 1206 of the family's 1831-position model. The record is from RNAcentral.
AGUUAAAAAGCUCGUAGUUGGAUUUCGGAACCGGCCGAUUGGUCCGUCCUCUGGAUCGUGUACUGAUCGGUCUGUUCUUCUUCGCGAAGACCGCGUGUGCUCUUAACUGAGUGGGCGUGGGAUUCGCGACGUUUACUUUGAAAAAAUUAGAGUGUUCAAAGCAGGCAGUCGCUUGAAUAUCUCAGCAUGGAAUAACAGAAUAGGACUUUGGUCUUAUUUUGUUGGUUUCCGAGACCGAAGUAAUGAUUAAUAGGGACAGUUGGGGGCAUUCGUAUUUCAUUGUCAGAGGUGAAAUUCUUGGAUUUAUGGAAGACGAACUUCUGCGAAAGCAUUUGCCAAGGAUGUUUUCAUUAAUCAAGAACGAAAGUUGGAGGCUCGAAGACGAUCAGAUACCGUCCUAGUUCCAACCAUAAACGAUGCCGUCUGCGGAUCGGAGGUCGCUCAUGUAAGGCUCCUUCGGCACGCUAUGAGAAAUCAAAGACUUCGGGUUCCGGGGGGAGUAUGUUCGCAAGAAUGAAACUUAAAGGAAUUGACGGAAGGGCACCACCAGGAGUGGAACCUGCGGUUUAAUUUGACUCAACAC